GGUGGACGUGGUGGCACAUGUCUGUAAUCCCAGCAACUCAGGAGGCUGAGGCAGGAGGAUCACAAGUGCAAAAUCAGCCUGAGCAAUUUAGUGAGGCCCUAAGCAACUUAGUGUGAGACCCUGUCUCAA
RNAcentral lists this small RNA (129 nucleotides) under Marmota monax (woodchuck). The record is from RNAcentral. Lineage: Eukaryota; Metazoa; Chordata; Mammalia; Rodentia; Sciuridae.